Molecule: transfer RNA, 76 nt
Filed under: Methanobacteriota archaeon
Lineage: Archaea; Methanobacteriati; Methanobacteriota
Also listed under: 1 other name
Description: Euryarchaeota archaeon tRNA-Asn
Rfam family: tRNA
About the family: Transfer RNA (tRNA) molecules are approximately 80 nucleotides in length. Their secondary structure includes four short double-helical elements and three loops (D, anti-codon, and T loops).
Source: RNAcentral
GCCGAUUUAGCUUAGCUGGUGGAGCGUGGGACUGUUAAUCCCAAGGUCAUGGGUUCGAACCCCAUAAUCGGCGCCA